This 253-nucleotide ribosomal RNA is filed under the name uncultured bacterium. RNAcentral's name for it is "partial 16S ribosomal RNA". It matches the Rfam family "Bacterial small subunit ribosomal RNA", at positions 524 to 776 of the family's 1533-position model. The record is from RNAcentral.
UACGUAGGGACCAAGCGUUGUUCGGAUUUACUGGGCGUAAAGGGCGCGUAGGCGGCCUGACAAGUCACUUGUGAAAUCUCCGGGCUUAACUCGGAACGGCCAAGUGAAACUGUUAGGCUAGAGUGCAGAAGGGGCAAUCGGAAUUCUUGGUGUAGCGGUGAAAUGCGUAGAUAUCAAGAGGAACACCUGAGGUGAAGACGGGUUGCUGGGCUGACACUGACGCUGAGGCGCGAAAGCCAGGGGAGCAAACGGG